GAACAUAUUAAAGGUAGUGAUAAUCAGAUUGCAGAUAUUUUAAGUAGAAUAAUUAAAAAUAAAGAAUAUGACUGAUCAUUUAUUGCAGAUGCAAAGACCAAGAGGUCCCAGACCAGGAUUGCCAAUUGUUGGCAGUUCCAGUUCUCAGACAAAUAUACUACAGACUCAUGAUAAGUUAAGAUUUGGUAAUAUAGAGUUACUUUGUUUUCCAAACAGUAAUAUUAGUUUUAAGACACUCUCUCAUAUUUC
This 249-nucleotide long non-coding RNA is filed under the name Olea europaea (common olive). RNAcentral's name for it is "long non-coding RNA (OEUR_LNC006761)". Lineage: Eukaryota; Viridiplantae; Streptophyta; Magnoliopsida; Lamiales; Oleaceae. The record is from RNAcentral.